Molecule: ribosomal RNA, 498 nt
Filed under: uncultured bacterium
Lineage: Bacteria
Description: partial 16S ribosomal RNA
Rfam family: Bacterial small subunit ribosomal RNA
Source: RNAcentral
GACGAACGCUGGCGGCGUGCCUAAUACAUGCAAGUCGAACGAGAGCGACCGGUGCUUGCACUGGUCAAUCUAGUGGCGAACGGGUGAGUAACACGUGGGUAACCUGCCCAUCAGAGGGGGAUAACAUUCGGAAACGGAUGCUAAAACCGCAUAGGUCUUCGAACCGCAUGGUUUGAAGAGGAAAAGAGGCGCAAGCUUCUGCUGAUGGAUGGACCCGUGGUGCAUUAGCUAGUUGGUGAGGUAACGGCUCACCAAGGCCGUGAUGCAUAGCCGACCUGAGAGGGUGAUCGGCCACAUUGGGACUGAGACACGGCCCAAACUCCUACGGGAGGCAGCAGUAGGGAAUCUUCCGCAAUGGACGCAAGUCUGACGGAGCAACGCCGCGUGAGUGAAGAAGGUUUUCGGAUCGUAAAACUCUGUUGUUAGAGAAGAACAAGUGCUAGAGUAACUGUUAGCGCCUUGACGGUAUCUAACCAGAAAGCCACGGCUAACUACGUG